GAGGAAUAUUGGACAAUGGAUGGAAAUCUGAUCCAGCCAUGCCGCGUGAAGGAGACGGUCCUAUGGAUUGUAAACUUCUUUUGUAUGGGAGCAAUAAGGUGUACGCGUACACCGAUGAGAGUACCAUACGAAUAAGCAUCGGCUAACUCCGUGCCAGCAGCCGCGGUAAUACGGAGGAUGCGAGCGUUAUCCGGAUUUAUUGGGUUUAAAGGGUGCGUAGGCGGAACUGUAAGUCAGCGGUGAAACGCAGGGGCUCAACCCCUGACCUGCCGUUGAAACUGUAGAUCUGGAAUACGGAUGCUGUGGGAGGAAUGUGUAGUGUAGCGGUGAAAUGCAUAGAUAUUACACAGAACACCGAUUGCGAAGGCAUCUCACAAAUCCGUCAUUGACGCUGAGGCACGAAAGUGUGGGGAUCAAAC
This 419-nucleotide ribosomal RNA is filed under the name uncultured bacterium. Its description in RNAcentral is "bacterial SSU rRNA". It matches the Rfam family "Bacterial small subunit ribosomal RNA", at positions 356 to 773 of the family's 1533-position model. The record is from RNAcentral.